This 271-nucleotide ribosomal RNA is filed under the name uncultured bacterium. Its description in RNAcentral is "partial 16S ribosomal RNA". It matches the Rfam family "Bacterial small subunit ribosomal RNA", at positions 524 to 794 of the family's 1533-position model. The record is from RNAcentral.
UACGGAGGGUGCAAGCGUUAAUCGGAAUUACUGGGCGUAAAGCGCGCGUAGGCGGCUUGUUAAGUCGAAUGUGAAAGCCCCGGGCUCAACCUGGGAACUGCAUCCGAUACUGGCUGGCUAGAGUGUGGUAGAGGGAAGUGGAAUUCCAGGUGUAGCGGUGAAAUGCGUAGAUAUCGGGAGGAACACCAGCGGCGAAGGCGGCUUUCUGGACCAAUACUGACGCUGAGACGCGAAAGCGUGGGGAGCAAACAGGAUUAGAUACCCGGGUAGU